GGGAAUAUUGGACAAUGGGGGAAACCCUGAUCCAGCAAUGCCGCGUGUGUGAAGAAGGCCUGCGGGUUGUAAAGCACUUUCAGUAGAGAAGAAAAGCUCGCGGUUAAUACCCGAUGAGUCUUGACGUAACCUACAGAAGAAGCACCGGCUAACUCCGUGCCAGCAGCCGCGGUAAUACGGAGGGUGCGAGCGUUGUUCGGAAUCACUGGGCGUAAAGCGCGUGUAGGCGGCCUUCUAAGUUUGAUGUGAAAGCCCGGGGCUCACCCCCGGAAGUGCAUUGGAUACUGGAAGGCUGGAGUACCGGAGAGGAGGGUGGAAUUCCUGGUGUAGCGGUGAAAUGCGUAGAUAUCAGGAGGAACACCUGUGGCGAAGGCGGCCCUCUGGACGGAUACUGACGCUGAGACGCGAAAGCGUGGGGAGCAAA
RNAcentral lists this ribosomal RNA (424 nucleotides) under uncultured bacterium. RNAcentral describes it as "bacterial SSU rRNA". It matches the Rfam family "Bacterial small subunit ribosomal RNA", at positions 357 to 772 of the family's 1533-position model. The record is from RNAcentral.